This 96-nucleotide transfer RNA is filed under the name Streptomyces griseus. RNAcentral describes it as "tRNA-Arg(ccg)". RNAcentral also lists the same sequence under 4 other names. The record is from RNAcentral. Lineage: Bacteria; Bacillati; Actinomycetota; Actinomycetes; Kitasatosporales; Streptomycetaceae.
ACCCCGGCGUGGGUCACGCCGGGGGAGGGCGCGUCGUCCCGGGCGGCGGCGCGCACCUCGGCGCGUACGCUCCCGUCGGAGCCGGGGGCCAGGGUG